This 440-nucleotide ribosomal RNA is filed under the name uncultured bacterium. Its description in RNAcentral is "bacterial SSU rRNA". It matches the Rfam family "Bacterial small subunit ribosomal RNA", at positions 338 to 795 of the family's 1533-position model. The record is from RNAcentral.
CCUACGGGACGCACCAGUGGGGAAUAUUGGACAAUGGGCGCAAGCCUGAUCCAGCCAUGCCGCGUGAGUGAAGAAGGCCUUAGGGUUGUAAAGCUCUUUCACCGGUGAAGAUAAUGACGGUAACCGGAGAAGAAGCCCCGGCUAACUUCGUGCCAGCAGCCGCGGUAAUACGAAGGGGGCUAGCGUUGUUCGGAAUUGCUGGGCGUAAAGCGCGCGUAGGCGGAUAGAUAAGUCAGAGGUGAAAUCCCGGGGCUCAACCCCGGAAUUGCCUUGGAUACUGUUUAUCUUGAGUGCAGAAGAGGUAAGUGGAAUUCCGAGUGUAGAGGUGAAAUUCGUAGAUAUUCGGAGGAACACCAGUGGCGAAGGCGGCUUACUGGUCUGCAACUGACGCUGAGGCGCGAAAGCCAGGGGAGCAAACGGGAUUAGAUACCCUUGUAGUC